UACUGCAUUUUUUCUUACACAUGUGUUUUUCUUUUUUUGAAAACUUUGCUUUGGUAGGCCUCAAUAUGGGGCCUGCCAGAGAUUAAACUCAACCAAAUUUUAUUUAAUGUCAACCGAUUAUUUAAUAGUCAAAACUUUCAACAACGGAUCUCUUGGUUCUCGCAUCGAUGAAGAACGCAGCGAAAUGCGAUAAGUAAUAUGAAUUGCAGAUAUUCGUGAAUCAUCGAAUCUUUGAACGCACAUUGCGCCCUUUGGUAUUCCAAAGGGCAUGCCUGUUUGAGCGUCAUUUCUCCCUCAAACCCUCGGGUUUGGUGUUGAGCGAUACGCUGGGUUUGCUUGAAAGAAAGGCGGAGUAUAAACUAAUGGAUAGGUUUUUUCCACUCAUUGGUACAAACUCCAAAACUUCUUCCAAAUUCGACCUCAAAUCAGGUAGGACUACCCGCUGAACUUAAGCAUAUCAAUAAGCGGAGG
This 471-nucleotide ribosomal RNA is filed under the name Lodderomyces parapsilosis. RNAcentral's name for it is "eukaryotic LSU rRNA". The stretch from base 133 to 286 matches the Rfam family "5.8S ribosomal RNA". The record is from RNAcentral. Lineage: Eukaryota; Fungi; Ascomycota; Pichiomycetes; Serinales; Debaryomycetaceae.